This 69-nucleotide transfer RNA is filed under the name Heterocephalus glaber (naked mole-rat). It matches the Rfam family "tRNA". Rfam says of the family: Transfer RNA (tRNA) molecules are approximately 80 nucleotides in length. Their secondary structure includes four short double-helical elements and three loops (D, anti-codon, and T loops). Further hydrogen bonds mediate the characteristic L-shaped molecular structure. tRNAs have two regions of fundamental functional importance: the anti-codon, which is responsible for specific mRNA codon recognition, and the 3' end, to which the tRNAs corresponding amino acid is attached (by aminoacyl-tRNA synthetases). tRNAs cope with the degeneracy of the genetic code in two manners: having more than one tRNA (with a specific anti-codon) for a particular amino acid; and 'wobble' base-pairing, i.e. permitting non-standard base-pairing at the 3rd anti-codon position. Lineage: Eukaryota; Metazoa; Chordata; Mammalia; Rodentia; Bathyergidae. The record is from Rfam by way of RNAcentral.
GGGGAUAUAGCUCAGUAGUCCAGUGCCUGCCUGGCAAGCAUGAGGCCCUGAGUUCAAGUCUCAGUACCA